Molecule: long non-coding RNA, 2116 nt
Organism: Homo sapiens (human)
Lineage: Eukaryota; Metazoa; Chordata; Mammalia; Primates; Hominidae
Gene: TSBP1-AS1
Product: TSBP1 and BTNL2 antisense RNA 1
Source: Ensembl
GCUUGCCGGCCUGGCGGUCCUACUCAACACCGCAAGAUUUCAAAAGGGAAAUUCCUCCAGGGCUGAGUCACAGGGAAGAAAGCGAUUUCCUCCGCCUCUUCCAAAGCGGCCCCUUUGGUGCCAGUCUGCUGGAGUUUGCUGGAGGUCCACUCCUGACCCUGUUUGCCUGGGUAUCACCAGCAGAGGCUGCAAAGCAGCAAAGAUUGCUGCCUGUUCUUUCUUCUAGAAGCUUCGACCCAGUGGGGCACCUGUCAGAUGCCAGCCAGAGCUCUCCUGUAUCAGGUGUCUGUCGGUCCAAGCUAGAAGGAUUUUAUAACCUGACAGCGUGCUGGAACUUCUCUGCUGGACUCCUGGACUCCCACAAUGGUUGUGGGGCUAGACAAGAAGGAAAAAAAUCACUGUCCUCAUGGAAGUUAAAUUGUACUGACAAAGGAGGAAAAUGUCAGGGAGUUAACAAUUCAGUCUCUGUGGCUUCCUCCUGUCCUCUCCCUGAAACUGAGAUCCAGCCAAUCUGCACAUUUAUUCUGAGAGUGGCCCCACUUUAAUGACUACACCCAGCUGUCUACACACCAGGAGGGGAGGGAACUGUAUCCUGAGGCACCAACCCGAUUACCCACCCAACAGCCACAGGGACUUCCAGUGACUGGGGCAUCAUCCUCAAUGCCACCAACCCCUCUCCUUCCUGUGGCUUUUCUAACUGGAACUGGAACUCAGAAAGUACAUUAAUCACCAAUUUGGGAAGCUAUAGGAAAGUAUGUUUUCUAAUAUACAGUGAGAGAAUGUGACUGAUAAAACCAAUUUUCUUGAGACUUUCUCCCUGGAAAGUGAAUAUAUGUAUUCAUAGGGCCUUCACAAGCACAGACUAACAAGCAAAGAGCUACAUUCACUGGGAAGGAAGACUCAAAAGUAAGUGAAAAAUAAUAGUUAACCUUUAGAUGUUGUGCAAUAAAUUAUUUUUAAUUACAUUAAAUCAAAAUAGUGUUAAAAUAUUUUCAGGUAAACCUAGUAUAUUUACUAAUAAAUUUAAGUCUUCAUAAAUAUAAAGAUAGAUCAAUGUAAAUGUAAAAAUCAUUUGUUAAACUCCAGAGAUUAUAUAAACAAAAGGUGAACCUAAUGUAAAACUGUGGACUUUAGUUGAAAAUAAUGUGUCACUAUUCUUUCAUGGGUUGUAACAAAUGUGCCACACUAAUGUAAGAUGUUAAUAAUAGCAGAAAUAGGGGGGAGAGAGGAGGGAUCUAGGAGCUCUCUGGAUUUUCCAUUUUAUUUUGUUAUAAAUCUAAAACUGUUCUUAAAAAUAAUGUCUGUUAAUUUUUUUUUUAAAAAGGAAAGAAGCACUGAUACAUGCUAUGACAUGGAAGAACUCUAAAAAUAUUAGGCUAAGGGAAAGAAGCCACAUACACAUACACAUACACAGAUAGUUUAUGGUUCCAUUUAUAUAAAAUAUUCAGAAUAGAAAAGUUCAUAGGGACAGAAAGUAGAUUACCUGGGGAGUAGGGGGUGAAAAAUGGGUAGUAACUGCUUAAUGGGUAUGAAGUUUCGUUUAGGGCGAUGAAAAUAUUCUGGAACUAGAAAGUGAUGAUGAUGGUCACACAGCAAUGUCACAUAUACAAUACCACAGAACUGUACACUUUAAAAUGGUUAAAGGGUUUUAUUUUAUGUUAUGUAUUUUACCACAAUUGAAAAAAAUGUUUAUUAAAAUUAAUGUGUAAACAUUUGUGGAAGAAUAAUGUGUAGUUUCUAACAUUUAUGUGUUUAAAUUUAUGAGUUUAAAAAUAGAAAAAAAAAUGAUGGCCCAGAAGAGCAAGUUCAGAGUGCUGUUCAUGAGUGAUCCGCAUGGGACCGCGAUGCCUCUGACGUCUGCCAUCCUGGAGAGCAGCAGAGCGUCACUAGCAGGUCCUCGUCUUCUCACUUCAUAACAUUCUUUCCAAAAGUCUUGUUGACAUUCUUCUGUCUUCCACAUAUAGUUUAUCUUCUUGAACUCAUUAUAACUUUAAAAUAUUUUUACUGUGUUACAUGUACUGCUUAUAUUUGUUUAUUUUAUAAUUAUUAAUUUUAAAUUGUGCACUUUAUUUUGCUCUAACAAUAAAAUUGACAUGUUCGUAUAGAUGAUACAUAA